Molecule: ribosomal RNA, 274 nt
Filed under: uncultured bacterium
Lineage: Bacteria
Description: partial 16S ribosomal RNA
Rfam family: Bacterial small subunit ribosomal RNA
Source: RNAcentral
AUACGGAGGGAGCAAGCGUUAUUCGGAAUCACUGGGCGUAAAGGACGCGUAGGCGGGUUUGUAAGUCAGGUGUGAAAUCCUACAGCUCUACUGUAGAACUGCACUUGAAACUACAGACCUAGAGUAUGGAAGGGGCAGAUGGAAUUAGUGGUGUAGGGGUAAAAUCCGUAGAUAUCACUAGGAAUACCGAAAGCGAAGGCGAUCUGCUGGGACAUUACUGACGCUGAGGCGUGAAAGCGUGGGGAGCAAACAGGAUUAGAUACCCCGGUAGUCC